This 288-nucleotide unclassified non-coding RNA is filed under the name Nosema bombycis. RNAcentral's name for it is "intergenic spacer". The record is from RNAcentral. Lineage: Eukaryota; Fungi; Microsporidia; Nosematidae.
GCAGGAUCAUAAAUAAAAAAGAUGGGAUUAUUAUGAUGAAAGUGUAUGCUGACAUUGUAAUAAUCUUGUCUAUGUUCUAAAUACAAAAUACCUUCACGAGGUUUAGAAUGAGUGAUAUAAGGAAGUUAUAUUAGCUAAAUUUAUGUGUGAAAUUGAUGGGUGAUUAGAAAUAGCUUGUGUAGUUAGGUGUAGAGAAAUAAUAUUGAAUGUAAUCUAUAUUGUUUGAGUUAGUUUUUAUACUGGUGAUAUCAAGAAUUUAAAUAUGUAACAACACACUAAAUCUAACCA